UGGCGUCUUUGAUCUCUCUCCACGAGGCGCAACUGCAGGUCAAUCGUACUUCCUCCUCGGUGAAGGUUUCUCUUCCACCCAUGCUUUUGUAUCCUCCUCCUGACCACCUCCCAACACUAAAUCACCGUGAAUCGAGGGGGUGAUUCAGCUCGAGAUUCACAAGAAGACGGGUCUAACAAAUUCUUGAGAUCCAUCGGGAAUUGGGUUUAGGGUUUUGUCCUCACAACAAUGUUGGUUUUUUCUUCUUUGAUCCACCGAUCGUGUUGGGCAUUAUGAGAUAUCAAUGAACUGAUUCAUCAUAAAGUCACCGUCAUUUAUUCUUGAUGUCUUGCUCGAUCUGGGAGUGCUGAAAACGUGCUCUUUGGGACCCGUGUCAGAGAGGAAGAUGCAACCCUCGAUCUCGGUGACGAGAAGGUUCCUCUUCUAUGUUCUGUUUGCGUCGCUGUUCUUCUUGUUGUUUACGUGUUCCGAUCUUUUGAGGCCCCGCAGUAGGCCCCUUGUACCUCAAACAGUGCUUAUGUUCGUUCUUCCUAAUAAGACUUCAGAUGACAGCUUUAGAGCUAGAGAUAGGACCAAGUUUCCCCAUUCCGAUCCAUUUCCCUUUUCUUCCUCAAUCGUCGUCAAUGAUAGACGAGGAAGAUCUGAGAAAGACAUUAGAGAAGCAAGCAGCAAAGGAUGCGACUUGGAUCGGUCUUUACUCAAGGUAUACAUGUAUGAUUUGCCUCCUGAGUUUCAUUUUGGAUCGUUGGGCUGGAACGGAAAAACCGAUCAGACAUGGCCGGAUAUCGCCGAAAUGGAUCGAAUUCCGACCUACCCUGGUGGAUUAAAUUUGCAGCAUAGUGUAGAAUACUGGCUCACCUUGGAUCUUCUUGCUUCAAAUGUUCCCAUUGUGGCGAGGCCUUGCACGGUGGUCCGUGUGACAAAUUCAAGCUCGGCUGAUGUGUUCUUCGUGCCCUUCUUCUCAUCUUUGAGUUACAACCGGCAUUCGAAGCCACAAGGGAAAGGUAAAGCUAGCAAAAACAGGAUUUUGCAGGAUGAGUUGGUGAGGUACUUAAUGGGCAGAGAGGAGUGGAAUAGAGGUGGUGGGAAGGAUCAUCUUAUUGUAGCUCACCAUCCCAACAGCAUGUUGCAGGCUCGAAGGAAGCUUGGUUCUGCUAUGUUUCUGCUUGCAGAUUUUGGGAGGUAUCCAUCGAAGAUAGCCAAUCUCAAGAAGGAUAUCAUUGCUCCUUACAGGCAUGUAGUUCGUUCAGUCGGCAAUGACUCUGCCACCUUCGAUGAGCGUCCGAUAUUAGCAUAUUUCCAGGGAGCCAUCAAUAGGAAGGAUGGCGGUAAAAUUCGUCAAAAGCUCUAUUACCUUCUCAAAGACGAGAAAGAUGUGCACUUUUCUUAUGGUAGCGUAAGGGAGAAUGGAAUAAGAAGUUCUGGUCAGGGAAUGGCUUCAUCGAAAUUCUGCCUGAAUAUCGCUGGAGACACCCCCUCCUCAAAUCGUCUCUUCGAUGCCAUUGUCAGCCAUUGUGUUCCCAUUGUGAUCAGUGAUGACAUUGAACUCCCGUUCGAAGAUAUCCUAGACUAUUCAGAUUUCUGCAUCUUUGUACGCACCUCGGAUGCUGUUAAGAAGGGUUUUCUUCUGGAUCUUCUCAGGGGAAUCAAAAGAACAGAAUGGACUAAGAUGUGGGAAAGGUUGAAGCAAAUAGCUCAUCACUUUGAGUAUCAGUAUCCAUCAAAGCAGGGGGAUUCUGUUCAGAUGAUCUGGGAAGAAGUUGCUCGCAAAAUCCCAUAUGUUCGUCUGAGCCUUAACAAGGAGAAGAGAUUACACAGAUCACAGUUUGUGAAGCAAAGCAAAUAGGAUAAUACUUUUGAGGACUCUUGUACAUCAGGUUGAAACCUUAGAAAGCUAUUUUCUGGGCACAGGGGAAAUCAAUAUCAUAGAAUUGUGCUUCACUUGUUCAAUAAAGAAUGUGCAAGCUUGUUAAUAGUGCAUAUAAUUUUCUGCUUUAGUUGCUUCAUGGAUGCAACAUCCUCCCAGCUAGUUUUGGACGACGAUAAGGAAGAGCGCUCACGAAGCUUCAGCACCGGUUGUGGAUGGGAUCUGAUCCCCUUCGAACUCUUCGUUUGCUCAUCUUGUUAGGAUCCACAGGCGGUGGCUCUGCUGCAGAUUUCUUGCUCGCAUCAAGGCUGACGACACCAGUAUGGGAAAACAACCAAACGCACACGAGAAGUACAAGGAGGAGGAGCCUACGAGUGCAGAUUCCCAUCGGUCCUCCAGUUAGCCACAGAGAUGUGAGAGGCCCUUCUGGUUCGGCCUUAAAAGGCCCCAUCCCUGUAGAUAUAGUCCUCUCAUUCAUCGGCAUAUGGGUUUUGGUCCAAAAGCACAAAGCUCAGUAACCCAAAAAACACCUAGAGAAUUCGGAUUCACUCCAAUCAUAUGGCUGCAACCCAAGCAAAUCCAAGGCUGUUUUAGAAGGUUCUGUCAUGUAUGAAUAAAGAGAUUGGCACGCCAUCCUUGGGAAGCGAAGUAUCUUUCCGGUGGUUCCCUUCCCUCCCCUCCAAAUCCCCCCUCACUAAGCAAGCACUAAAGGAGAUGUUCAGGGAGUACGGCAGCAGCAAAAGAAACACCUGCUUUAUCUCUCUUCUGUGAUCAUCAUCCUGUGCUUUAGGAUUUCCUCUUACAACAAGGAAGCACUCUUAUCCAUGCACCCAAUGAAAUAAAACAAGUACUUGGUUUCUCGUGCUGAAUGCGCUUCUUUAUGCUUUUCUGCGUUAUUCCUGCUGCUAUAUACCCUACUUUUCCUAUAUCUCAUCCAUUACUUCUCCCAUGACUCUUUAAUUUUCCUCUUUUCCUUUUUCCAUGGAGAACACAUUCCUCUUUCACUGUUUUUUUCAUAUUUAUAUUGCUUCUCAGUAUCACAUGCAGCUCGUAGGAUUCCUAAAGCACAGGUUCCCUCACUUCAACAAAAACUACGAGCAACUCAAGUAUCGCACAUCAGGUGUUUGUUGCUUUUUCUCUUUGAAAUAAAGCAAAAGAGCAACAGUGGAUGCUGCUGCUUUCCAAGGGCACAAGACUAGAACUCACAUGGAGGACUAUGCUCCCAUUGCAUGAAGAAAAACUCAACAAUAUUGUUUCAUGCAACAUAAAAAAUUUAUCUCCAUAUUCAAGUGCCUUUCAUACAUACAUCAUGCACAAUGUCAAUUUGAUUUUUGAUUCUAGAAGCAUGCUUGUUCACUUUGAAAUAAACUCUCUGAUGUUCUUUUUAUUUAUUUAUUUAUUUUUCUUGCUAAAAAGUGUUCAUCUAUUAUUACUUAAUACAUGGUACUUCGGAAACCUCACAAGUUUGUGAUCAUUGAACAGGGAGAAGAAGGAAAGAACACAGGAAAUAGAGCUGCAGGGAAAUCCAGGGAAUUAUCAUGAUUUGGUCUUCUCUCUGGAGACUAGUUUUCUAAAGUGGGCAAUUUCUUAAUGUCACCCAAGUGCUUUUAUAUACUUUUGAAGCAGGCUAUCAGAUAUUUGGGACCCAACUGAGUAAUUCUAUAUUAGAACUGGCAGAAAAGUAAGUGAAUCCUAGCUAAUGUGGACACUUGUUUUAAAGCACCCUAAAGAACAAGUGUGCAAAUGCUGACUGUUCCAUUAAUUUACCUAACAGCUAUUUUAUGUAGUAUUCAGUGGAUCUAAAGAUAUCAGGUCUUGGAGGAAUUUAGGUAGAAUUUGCACAUGGUCUUCAGCCAGUUUGCCUCAGAUGUCCUUCAAAUAGGAUCAAUUACAUCCAUUUCAUAUUUAGUGAAGUUGUAUGGCGUAAAAGUGAUCAACCAAAAUAACAGUCUGUUUCUCGUGAAGUGAUAUUUGAACUCAAUAGGCUCUCUCCUUCUGUGAUAAUUUUUAGCAUAGUUAAAGGCACUCAUAAUAUUAAUGUGCAUCAUCACAGGAACUGAGCCAUCUGUCAGAACUCCAAGAUAUUUUAGAAAUUAUCUUAGCUAUAUGAUUUCUCAAAUUCUCAUUACAAUAAAAACAUGUCUUCCUCUUAUUUUGCCAUCUGAUUGGUUCAAAUUAAAAUUAUAGUUGCCCUAUGUUGAAAGACCAUUGAUGUUGAAGUUUAAAGGCUCCAUGAACUAUAUAUUGUAGCCUCUCCUCUUCAUAUGCUUCUUGAAGAGCAUGAUAGAAGUGUGCAUUUUCUUUGAGGUGAGGCUCUCAUCACCAAGAUUCAUGGAUAAUUUAUGGUGGCAUUUUGGUGAACCCUUUUAAAUUAUGUCUAGUACACUCAUCUACCAUGAUCUUAAUCAUUUAAUUAGGUUCAAAUAGCUACAAAAUUGCUUCACGGAUCUCCGAACAAGCUUAUUAUAUUCUUGUAUGUGAUGUGAGUCCUGAUUGUACCAAUGUGAUAUUUCAGUUUUUAAGUGCAAAGUUAUGAUCAUCUCAGCUUCAUGGGGUUUCCACAUUGUCAAAGAAGUCGAAGAAUUGCCAUGCCAAGAAGACUGGAAGGAAUGCGAUGCCUAAGCAGUGACCCCCUCCGAAAGAUAUCUUUUGGGGUAUAUCACAUAGCAAAUAAUUUCUCACAGUUCAAAGAGUUUAUACUAGUAAACAUUUUUUUAUUAAUCUUGUCACAAAGUAUCAUUGCAAAUGUAAGAGGAUGAGAUGUUCAAUGGAGUUUGAGGUGUAGAUUGAAUUGUGUAUGUAUCAAGUCGAUCGUAUGAAUAUGUUAAUGACGCAAACGAAAUUUGUGUUUUUUCUUUUAACUUGUUUAGGUACUAAAAGUACAUGUUGAUAUGGUUUGAGUGUAAUGCUCGUUGAUGUUAGAUUUUGGGAUAAGUGGAAGCAUCAUCAUCUUCUUCGGAUCCUUCAA
This is an RNA transcript of Musa acuminata AAA Group (dessert banana), 4835 nucleotides long. It is a transcript of the gene named probable arabinosyltransferase ARAD1, with no coding region annotated. NCBI's taxonomy places the organism in Eukaryota, Viridiplantae, Streptophyta, Magnoliopsida, Zingiberales, Musaceae. The record is from RefSeq and is a predicted model, not a curated record. The transcript has 5 exons.